This is a non-coding RNA of Vicia faba (fava bean), 276 nucleotides long. The record is from the annotation of a GenBank genome assembly. NCBI's taxonomy places the organism in Eukaryota, Viridiplantae, Streptophyta, Magnoliopsida, Fabales, Fabaceae.
AUGAGCAUUGGAGUACUUUUGUUAGUGUCAACUCUAGAUUGGAACUUGUGGAUGAAGCAUAUCAUAAGCCAUGUUAUCUCAUGUCUCAACCAGUUCCAUAAAAGCUUCACAUUUUACUCACACAUGCCAAGUGUUAGUUUCCUCGUAGCAACAACACAUACAUGGCAACAAAAUAAGGGGAACUCAAGUUGCUGUCUACCUUCAAAGUUUAUCAGCAAAUUGUCUGAUCAGAACCUGUUCAUUAGAGUCCAAAAGUAUGAUAAUAACACUCAAUGA